This 330-nucleotide ribosomal RNA is filed under the name uncultured bacterium. RNAcentral describes it as "bacterial SSU rRNA". It matches the Rfam family "Bacterial small subunit ribosomal RNA", at positions 568 to 898 of the family's 1533-position model. The record is from RNAcentral.
CGCGUAGGCGGUAAUGUAAGUCAGACGUGAAAUCCUUCGGCUCAACUGAAGAACUGCGUCUGAAACUGCAUGACUAGAGUGCAGAAGAGGGAAACGGAAUUCCAGGUGUAGAGGUGAAAUUCGUAGAUAUCUGGAGGAACACCGGUGGCGAAGGCGGUUUCCUGGUCUGACACUGACGCUGAGGCGCGAAAGCGUGGGGAGCAAACAGGAUUAGAUACCCUGGUAGUCCACGCCGUAAACGGUGGGUACUGGGUGUGGGAGGUGUAAUGCUUCUGUGCCGAAGCUAACGCGUUAAGUACCCCGCCCGGGGAGUACGGCCGCAAGGUUGAA